Molecule: ribosomal RNA, 254 nt
Filed under: uncultured bacterium
Lineage: Bacteria
Description: partial 16S ribosomal RNA
Rfam family: Bacterial small subunit ribosomal RNA
Source: RNAcentral
CACGUAGGGGGCGAGCGUUGUCCGGAAUCAUUGGGCGUAAAGAGCUCGUAGGCGGCUCGGUAAGUCGGGUGUGAAACCCCCAGGCUCAACCUGGGGACGCCACCCGAUACUGCUGUGGCUAGAGUCCGGAAGAGGAGAAUGGAAUUCCCGGUGUAGCGGUGAAAUGCGCAGAUAUCGGGAAGAACACCCGUGGCGAAGGCGGUUCUCUGGGACGGUACUGACGCUGAGACGCGAAAGCGUGGGGAGCGAACAGG